This 492-nucleotide ribosomal RNA is filed under the name uncultured bacterium. Its description in RNAcentral is "partial 16S ribosomal RNA". It matches the Rfam family "Bacterial small subunit ribosomal RNA", at positions 28 to 507 of the family's 1533-position model. The record is from RNAcentral.
GAUGAACGCUAGCUACAGGCUUAACACAUGCAAGUCGAGGGGAAACGACAUCGAAAGCUUGCUUUUGAUGGGCGUCGACCGGCGCACGGGUGAGUAACGCGUAUCCAACCUGCCCAUCACUUGGGAAUAACCUUGCGAAAGUAAGACUAAUACCCAAUGAUAUCCCACGAAGGCAUCGGAAUGGGAUUAAAGAUUUAUCGGUGAUGGAUGGGGAUGCGUCUGAUUAGCUUGUUGGCGGGGUAACGGCCCACCAAGGCAACGAUCAGUAGGGGUUCUGAGAGGAAGGUCCCCCACAUUGGAACUGAGACACGGUCCAAACUCCUACGGGAGGCAGCAGUGAGGAAUAUUGGGAAAUGGGCGAGAGCCUGAACCAGCCAAGUAGCGUGCAGGAAGACGGCCCUAUGGGUUGUAAACUGCUUUUAUAAGGGAAUAAAGUGGGUCACGUGUGACUUUUUGCAUGUACCUUAUGAAUAAGGACCGGCUAAUUCCGUG